CUCCUACGGGAGGCAGCAGUGGGGAAUAUUGCACAAUGGGCGAAAGCCUGAUGCAGCAACGCCGCGUGAGCGAUGAAGGCCUUCGGGUCGUAAAGCUCUGUCCUCAAAGAAGAUAAUGACGGUACUUGAGGAGGAAGCCCCGGCUAACUACGUGCCAGCAGCCGCGGUAAAACGUAGGGUGCAAGCGUUGUCCGGAAUUACUGGGUGUAAAGGGAGCGCAGGCGGACCGGCAAGUUGGAAGUGAAAACUAUGGGCUCAACCCAUAAAUUGCUUUCAAAACUGCUGGCCUUGAGUAGUGCAGAGGUAGGUGGAAUUCCCGGUGUAGCGGUGGAAUGCGUAGAUAUCGGGAGGAACACCAGUGGCGAAGGCGACCUACUGGGCACCAACUGACGCUGAGGCUCGAAAGCAUGGGUAGCAAACAGGAUUAGAUACCCUGGUAGUCCAUGCCGUAAACGAUGAUUACUAGGUGUUGGAGGAUUGACCCCUUCAGUGCCGCAGUUAACACAAUAAGUAAUCCACCUGGGGAGUACGACCGCAAGGUUGAAACUCAAAGGAAUUGACGGGGGCCCGCACAAGCAGUGGAGUAUGUGGUUUAAUUCGAAGCAACGCGAAGAACCUUACCAGGUCUUGACAUCCGAUGCAUAGUGCAGAGAUGCAUGAAGUCCUUCGGGACAUCGAGACAAGUGGUGCAUGGUUGU
RNAcentral lists this ribosomal RNA (698 nucleotides) under uncultured bacterium. RNAcentral's name for it is "bacterial SSU rRNA". It matches the Rfam family "Bacterial small subunit ribosomal RNA", at positions 336 to 1052 of the family's 1533-position model. The record is from RNAcentral.